This 649-nucleotide ribosomal RNA is filed under the name Streptococcus agalactiae. Its description in RNAcentral is "bacterial SSU rRNA". It matches the Rfam family "Bacterial small subunit ribosomal RNA", at positions 1 to 634 of the family's 1533-position model. Lineage: Bacteria; Bacillati; Bacillota; Bacilli; Lactobacillales; Streptococcaceae. The record is from RNAcentral.
UUAAUGAGAGUUUGAUCCUGGCUCAGGACGAACGCUGGCGGCGUGCCUAAUACAUGCAAGUAGAACGCUGAGGUUUGGUGUUUACACUAGACUGAUGAGUUGCGAACGGGUGAGUAACGCGUAGGUAACCUGCCUCAUAGCGGGGGAUAACUAUUGGAAACGAUAGCUAAUACCGCAUAAGAGUAAUUAACACAUGUUAGUUAUUUAAAAGGAGCAAUUGCUUCACUGUGAGAUGGACCUGCGUUGUAUUAGCUAGUUGGUGAGGUAAAGGCUCACCAAGGCGACGAUACAUAGCCGACCUGAGAGGGUGAUCGGCCACACUGGGACUGAGACACGGCCCAGACUCCUACGGGAGGCAGCAGUAGGGAAUCUUCGGCAAUGGACGGAAGUCUGACCGAGCAACGCCGCGUGAGUGAAGAAGGUUUUCGGAUCGUAAAGCUCUGUUGUUAGAGAAGAACGUUGGUAGGAGUGGAAAAUCUACCAAGUGACGGUAACUAACCAGAAAGGGACGGCUAACUACGUGCCAGCAGCCGCGGUAAUACGUAGGUCCCGAGCGUUGUCCGGAUUUAUUGGGCGUAAAGCGAGCGCAGGCGGUUCUUUAAGUCUGAAGUUAAAGGCAGUGGCUUAACCAUUGUACGCUUUGGAAACU